RNAcentral lists this ribosomal RNA (333 nucleotides) under uncultured bacterium. RNAcentral's name for it is "bacterial SSU rRNA". It matches the Rfam family "Bacterial small subunit ribosomal RNA", at positions 28 to 342 of the family's 1533-position model. The record is from RNAcentral.
GACGAACGCUGGCGGCGUGCCUAACACAUGCAAGUCGUGCGAGAAAGUUCCUUCGGGAGCGAGUAAAGCGGCGCACGGGUGAGUAACACGUAGGUAACCUGCCCCCCAGUCUGGAACAACUAGAGGAAACUCUAGCUAAUGCCGGAUGAGACCACGAUCCCUUCGGGGGUUGCGGCCAAAGAUGGCCUCUACUUGUAAGCUAUCGCUGAGGGAUGGGCCUGCGGGCCAUUUAGCUUUGUUUGGUGAGGUAACGGCUCACCAAGGCUGUGAUGGCUAGCUGGUCUGAGAGGAUGACCAGCCACACUGGGACUGAGACACGGCCCAGACUCCUAC